AUUAAAGAGUUCUAUAACUCCCAAACCCAUGUGAACAUACCUAACGUUGCCUCGGCAGGUCGCACCUACCUUGUAGCACCCUACCCUGUAGGGCCUACCCGGGAGGUGCGGGUAAGCCUGCCGGCGGCCCACCAAACUCUGUUUGAUAUUGAAUUCUGAACCUAUAACUAAAUAAGUUAAAACUUUCAACAACGGAUCUCUUGGUUCUGGCAUCGAUGAAGAACGCAGCGAAAUGCGAUAAGUAAUGUGAAUUGCAGAAUUCAGUGAAUCAUCGAAUCUUUGAACGCAUAUUGCGCCCAUUAGUAUUCUAGUGGGCAGGACCGUUCGAGCGUCAUUUCAACCCUUAAGCCUUCGUUGCUUAGUGUUGGGAGCCUACGGCAACGUAGCUCCUCAAAGUUAGUGGCGGAGUUAGUUCACACUCUAGACGUAGUAAUUUUUUAUCUCGCCUAUUAGUUGGACUAAUCCCCUGCCGUAAAACCCCCAAUUUAUCAAGGUUGACCUCGAAUCGGUUCAGACAAACUCGCUAAAUUGAAGCAUCUUAGUCAGCGAAGGAAAAGAAACCAACAGGGAUUGCCCUAGUAACGGCGAGUGAAGCGGCAACAGCUCAAAUUUGAAAU
This 617-nucleotide ribosomal RNA is filed under the name fungal endophyte. Its description in RNAcentral is "eukaryotic LSU rRNA". The stretch from base 181 to 334 matches the Rfam family "5.8S ribosomal RNA". The record is from RNAcentral. Lineage: Eukaryota; Fungi.